This 329-nucleotide unclassified non-coding RNA is filed under the name soil metagenome. RNAcentral describes it as "partial contains 5.8S ribosomal RNA, internal transcribed spacer 2, and large subunit ribosomal RNA". The stretch from base 1 to 120 matches the Rfam family "5.8S ribosomal RNA", at positions 35 to 154 of the family's 154-position model. The record is from RNAcentral.
GAUGAAGAACGCAGCGAAAUGCGAUAAGUAAUGUGAAUUGCAGAAUUCAGUGAAUCAUCGAAUCUUUGAACGCACAUUGCGCCCUCUGGUAUUCCGGGGGGCAUGCCUGUUCGAGCGUCAUUAUAACCACUCAAGCUCUCGCUUGGUAUUGGAGUUCGCGAUCUCGCGGCUCCUAAAAUCAGUGGCGGUGCCUGUCGGCUCUACGCGUAGUAAUACUCCUCGCGAUUGAGUCCGGUAGGUUUACUUGCCAGCAACCCCCAAUUUUUACAGGUUGACCUCGGAUCAGGUAGGGAUACCCGUUGAACUUAAGCAUAUCAAUAAGCGGAGGA